CCGGGCUCGGCGCUCCGGGAACCUCCGCGGGACCCGCCGGCCGGGCGGCGCAGCCCCUCGGUCCCCGCCGCCUCCCCGCACAGAUACAGCAGGGUUCAGCCAAAUGCAGGGCUGCAGAUGUUCAGUGUUUCCCAGUGUUCUGAAGGCUGAGCUGGUGUCUGUGCCUUGUCCAAACUGCUCCGUUCUCCGCUCCGAGUGGCCGUGCUCUGCCUUUCAUGGGGACUCUCACAUGCAGAAAUCACAGCGUGAGUUUGCAGUUUGGGGAUUAUUUUGUAGCUAAUAUAGUGGUUGUCCAAAAAAAUUGUAUUAUGAAAUCCAAAAAGUCCUGCAGCGGUAGAGGAAGUAGGGAUCCCUCAGAUGGAAGACGGAGAACAUGACAGCCCUUCUGUCACAGUGCUUUUGACAUGUUCAAUUUAAACCAUCCUGAAAGUGUACCAGUAGUGGGGCUCUGUGGUGUGAGUAUUCCUUUCAUAGUUUUGGAACAGUCAUUGUGCAACAGCCUCCCUCCUUAAGAUAAUUAUAAAGCAAUACUAAGUUGCAUUAAAUUAUGUUCUUGUUGCGCAGUUGUUUUCUGUUUGAGGUACAACACAAAAUUCAGCUACAUGUAGUUGUUAUAUUCUUGUAUUACUCUGUAUUUUGCAGAGCUAAUAAAAAUUGCUUCA
RNAcentral lists this long non-coding RNA (662 nucleotides) under Chloebia gouldiae (Gouldian finch). Its description in RNAcentral is "Erythrura gouldiae (Gouldian finch) lncRNA (ENSEGOG00005000938.1)". Lineage: Eukaryota; Metazoa; Chordata; Aves; Passeriformes; Passeridae. The record is from RNAcentral.